This 465-nucleotide ribosomal RNA is filed under the name uncultured Klebsiella sp. RNAcentral's name for it is "bacterial SSU rRNA". It matches the Rfam family "Bacterial small subunit ribosomal RNA", at positions 338 to 795 of the family's 1533-position model. The record is from RNAcentral. Lineage: Bacteria; Pseudomonadati; Pseudomonadota; Gammaproteobacteria; Enterobacterales; Enterobacteriaceae.
CCUACGGGCGGCAGCAGUGGGGAAUAUUGCACAAUGGGCGCAAGCCUGAUGCAGCCAUGCCGCGUGUGUGAAGAAGGCCUUCGGGUUGUAAAGCACUUUCAGCGGGGAGGAAGGCGUUAAGGUUAAUAACCUUGGCGAUUGACGUUACCCGCAGAAGAAGCACCGGCUAACUCCGUGCCAGCAGCCGCGGUAAUACGGAGGGUGCAAGCGUUAAUCGGAAUUACUGGGCGUAAGGCGCACGCAGGCGGUCUGUCAAGUCGGAUGUGAAAGCCCCGGGCUCAACCUGGGAACUGCAUUCGAAACUGGCAGGCUAGAGUCUUGUAGAGGGGGGUAGAAUUCCAGGUGUAGCGGUGAAAUGCGUAGAGAUCUGGAGGAAUACCGGUGGCGAAGGCGGCCCCCUGGACAAAGACUGACGCUCAGGUGCGAAAGCGUGGGGAGCAAACAGGAUUAGAUACCCGGGUAGUC